RNAcentral lists this ribosomal RNA (463 nucleotides) under uncultured bacterium. Its description in RNAcentral is "partial 16S ribosomal RNA". It matches the Rfam family "Bacterial small subunit ribosomal RNA", at positions 28 to 507 of the family's 1533-position model. The record is from RNAcentral.
GACGAACGCUGGCGGCGUGCUUAACACAUGCAAGUCGAACGGAAAGGCCCUGCUUGCAGGGUACUCGAGUGGCGAACGGGUGAGUAACACGUGGGUGAUCUGCCCUGCACUUCGGGAUAAGCCUGGGAAACUGGGUCUAAUACCGGAUAGGAGCCAUUUUUAGUGUGAUGGUUGGAAAGUUUUUUCGGUGUAGGAUGAGCUUGCGGCCUAUCAGCUUGCUGGUGGGGUAAUGGCCUACUAAGGCGGCGUCGGGAAGCCGGCCUGCGAGGGUGGCCGGCCACUGUGGAAUGAGGGAAGGACCAGAACGCCACAGGGGGCAAGGGGGGGGAAAUUGGCCCAACGGGGCGGAGCCCGUGAGGACGGCCCCCGGUUGGGGAAGAACGCCUUUCGGGUUAAAACCUCCUUUCACGGGGAACGAAACUUUUGGAAGGGAACCAAUAAAAAAGCCACGGCUAAACAAGUG